GAUGAACGCUGGCGGCACGCCUAACACAUGCAAGUCGAACGAUGAAGCCGGAGCUUGCUCCGGUGGAUUAGUGGCGAACGGGUGAGUAACACGUGAGCAAUCUGCCCUUGACUCUGGGAUAACUGCGGGAAACUGUAGCUAAUACCGGAUACGACACCUUGGGGCAUCCCAGGGUGUGGAAAGAAUUUCGGUCAAGGAUGAGCUCGCGGCCUAUCAGCUAGUUGGUGAGGUAAUGGCUCACCAAGGCGACGACGGGUAGCCGGCCUGAGAGGGUGACCGGCCACACUGGAACUGAGACACGGUCCAGACUCCUACGGGAGGCAGCAGUGGGGAAUAUUGCACAAUGGGCGAAAGCCUGAUUCAGCAACGCCGCGUGAGGGAUGAAGGCCUUCGGGUUGUAAACCUCUUUUAGCAGGGAAGAAGCGAAAGUGACGGUACCUGCAGAAAAAGCACCGGCUAACUACGUGCCAGCCGCCGCCGUAA
This 483-nucleotide ribosomal RNA is filed under the name uncultured bacterium. RNAcentral describes it as "partial 16S ribosomal RNA". It matches the Rfam family "Bacterial small subunit ribosomal RNA", at positions 28 to 523 of the family's 1533-position model. The record is from RNAcentral.